UUUCUAUCAUGCUCAUUUGUUUCCCAUUCGCAGUCAAGUUCUCCCAAAAUCCCUAAAAACCUUUCUGAAACCAAAAUCCAAAAUCCCUAAAAGCUUCUGAAACCAAAAUCCCCAAAAGUUUGCUGAAACCAAAAUCUCCAAAAUCCCUAAAAGCUUUCUAGGGUUCUAGCAUUCAGCAAUGCCAUACAUUGAAGAGGGUGAACGACGACGAGGGUGAACGACGACAAUGAUGAGCAGCAACAAGUGACAGCUAGCAACGAACAACAGCCUUCGCAAACCCUUCCACUCUCAACUCCCUCCUCCUUCCAUCUCCUCCUCCAGAUCUCACUCUCGCUGGAGUUUCCUUCUCAGAGCUAAUUUGAAGAUGGGUAUAAUGAUGGAGAUGGAGAUGGUGGCAAUGGAAAAAAUAGAAUUGUGAUGCCAUUUGAUGGAGGAGAAGAAAAAGGUGACACAGAGGCAUGACUAUUAUUGCCUGCAUGAAUCAACUUAAUCAUUACCAUGAGGAGUACCAGAUGCAGCUGUCCUGGACCCAAGACCCCCACAAGCAGACUUUUAUAGUCUUGGAUAAAGAAUUGGUUGUUGGAGACUUCAUCCAUGGAGAUGCCCAUGUUGAAGCCAUGGUUGGUGAUGUGAAUAUAUACAUGAAUGACUUGGAUGAUUCCCAAAUGGCAGAGAUUGAAAUAAUGAUAGCUGAGCCCAAAAGGUACAUGCCUUUCAAUUUCUUCUUAUGAUAGUGCCAAUGAUGACUGGGAGUCGCAGAUUAUUUCAUUAUCACUAAUUGCUCAUCUCUUCUUAUUUUCAUUUAUAAUUAAGUCCAUAAUAUAUGUGUCCUUGUACAUCCAUAUUUUCCUUCUGACCAUUAUGUUUCUUUUGUUUUGGUUGCUAUUUUACUUUGCUCUGAAGUUGUUAAAGAUGUGGAUGCUACAAUAAUGUUUUUUUUCCCUGGUUGAUGAUUUUUUUAAAAGCAACAAAUGAAGCAUUAAACUCUCUGUCUAUAUAUAUGUUUUGUAUGUAUAUUAACAUUGAUACUAAUUAUAUUACAUGAUUUUACUUCGACAAGUGAAGCAUAGUUUAUGACGGACAUAGUUUAAGCAUAUUUGACUUGUAUGUCUUAUUCAAUACAAGAUGAGUUUAAUCGUCAACUCUUCAUGCUACUUGAGGAUUGUCGGACUUUAGAGUCUAGGAAUGCCAUUUUCCAUGAGUUGAUAGGCCAUGACGGACAUGGAUAUUGUUGCACUUACGGGAGAACUGCGCCUCAGAACGCGGUGUAUAAAGAUGGUGCUGGGCCAUCACGGUCAACACCCCAGCCAUCGACUAUUGUUGAAAUCACCAAGCAGGUUCGUGCGGAGCUAAAGGAUAAGUUGAGGGAGGAGCUGAAGGAGGAGAUGCAAGCAGAGUUCUCUAUACAUUUACAGUAGAUAAGAGCUAAGAUGAUAGCCUUUGUGUCACAGGGGGCAAGUGUGGAUCCAAACAGACAGGUUCCUAAUGCAUCGAGUGGCCAUCGGAUAUUUAGGGAAUCUGCAGGAGAUGAGACUCCAUAUACACCACCACCAGAAGAUCAGAUAUUUCCGGAGUUGAAGUUUGCUUUUUGUGGAUUUCAUGCCUGUGAAGAAUUCCACUAAUUUUUGUUUUUGUACCACAGAGAAUGAUGAGGAAAACUUUUAAUUUUGGUUUAUGUUAUUUUGAAUUAUGAACAACAUUAUGUAUUUAAACAUCAUAUUUGUAUUAUGGAACAUUAUGUA
This is a non-coding RNA of Camellia sinensis, 1742 nucleotides long. The record is from RefSeq and is a predicted model, not a curated record. NCBI's taxonomy places the organism in Eukaryota, Viridiplantae, Streptophyta, Magnoliopsida, Ericales, Theaceae.